CCUACGGGCGGCAGCAGUGAGGAAUAUUGGUCAAUGGACGAGAGUCUGAACCAGCCAAGUAGCGUGAAGGAUGACUGCCCUAUGGGUUGUAAACUUCUUUUAUAUGGGAAUAAAACGUUCCACGUGUGGGAUUUUGUAUGUACCAUAUGAAUAAGGAUCGGCUAACUCCGUGCCAGCAGCCGCGGUAAUACGGAGGAUCCGAGCGUUAUCCGGAUUUAUUGGGUUUAAAGGGAGCGUAGGUGGAUUGUUAAGUCCGUUGUGAAAGUUUGGGGCUCAACCGUAAAAUUGCAGUUGAAACUGGCAGUCUUGAGUACAGUAGAGGUGGGCGGAAUUCGUGGUGUAGCGGUGAAAUGCUUAGAUAUCACGAAGAACUCCGAUUGCGAAGGCAGUUCACUGGACUGCAACUGACACUGAGGCUCGAAAGUGUGGGUAUCAAACAGGAUUAGAUACCCUGGUAGUC
Molecule: ribosomal RNA, 460 nt
Filed under: uncultured bacterium
Lineage: Bacteria
Description: partial 16S ribosomal RNA
Rfam family: Bacterial small subunit ribosomal RNA
Source: RNAcentral